GACGAACCGUGCGAACGUUGUUCGGAAUCACUGGGCUUAAAGGGCGCGUAGGCGGGCAUCCAAGUCAGUGGUGAAAUCCUCCGGCCUAACCGGAGAAGAGCUGUUGAUACUGGGUGCCUCGAGUGGUGCAGGGGUCUGCGGAACUUCCGGUGGAGCGGUGAAAUGCGUAGAGAUCGGAAGGAACGCCGGUGGCGAAAGCGGCGGACUGGGCACCUCCUGACGCUGAGGCGCGAAAGCCAGGGGAGCAAACUGG
This 253-nucleotide ribosomal RNA is filed under the name uncultured bacterium. RNAcentral's name for it is "partial 16S ribosomal RNA". It matches the Rfam family "Bacterial small subunit ribosomal RNA", at positions 524 to 776 of the family's 1533-position model. The record is from RNAcentral.